GGGUAGUUUGACUGGGGCGGUCUCCUCCCAAAGAGUAACGGAGGAGCACGAAGGUUAGCUAAUCCUGGUCGGACAUCAGGAGGUUAGUGCAAUGGCAUAAGCUAGCUUGACUGCGAGCGUGACGGCGCGAGCAGGUGCGAAAGCAGGUCAUAGUGAUCCGGUGGUUCUGAAUGGAAGGGCCAUCGCUCAACGGAUAAAAGGUACUCCGGGGAUAACAGGCUGAUACCGCCCAAGAGUUCAUAUCGACGGCGGUGUUUGGCACCUCGAUGUCGGCUCAUCACAUCCUGGGGCUGAAGUAGGUCCCAAGGGUAUGGCUGUUCGCCAUUUAAAGUGGUACGCGAGCUGGGUUUAGAACGUCGUGAGACAGUUCGGUCCCUAUCUGCCGUGGGCGCUGGAGAAUUGAGGGGGGCUGCUCCUAGUACGAGAGGACCGGAGUGGACGCAUCACUGGUGUUCGGGUUGUCAUGCCAAUGGCAUUGCCCGGUAGCUAAAUGCGGAAGAGAUAAGUGCUGAAAGCAUCUAAGCACGAAACUUGC
RNAcentral lists this ribosomal RNA (535 nucleotides) under Klebsiella aerogenes. Its description in RNAcentral is "partial 23S ribosomal RNA". It matches the Rfam family "Bacterial large subunit ribosomal RNA", at positions 2263 to 2797 of the family's 2925-position model. The record is from RNAcentral. Lineage: Bacteria; Pseudomonadati; Pseudomonadota; Gammaproteobacteria; Enterobacterales; Enterobacteriaceae.